RNAcentral lists this ribosomal RNA (468 nucleotides) under uncultured bacterium. RNAcentral describes it as "partial 16S ribosomal RNA". It matches the Rfam family "Bacterial small subunit ribosomal RNA", at positions 28 to 507 of the family's 1533-position model. The record is from RNAcentral.
GACGAACGCUGGCGGCGUGCUUAACACAUGCAAGUCGAACGGAAAGGCACUGCUUUUGUGGUGUGCUCGAGUGGCGAACGGGUGAGUAACACGUGAGUAACCUGCCCUUGACUUUGGGAUAACUUCACGAAACUGGGGCUACUACCGGAUAGGAGCUCCUGCUGCAUGGUGGGCGUUGGAUAGUUUCGGCGGUUGGGGAUGGACUCGCGGCUUAUCAGCUUGUUGGUGGGGUAGUGGCUUACCAAGGCUUUGACGGGUAGCCGGCCUGAGAGGGUGACCGGCCACAUGGGGACUGAGAGACGGCCCAGACGCGUACGGGAGGCAGCAGGGGGAAAUAUGGCACAAUGGGCGGAAGCCUGAGGCAGAAGCGCCGCGGGUGGGAUGACGGCCUGCGGGUUGUAAAAAGCUUUCGGCUGUGACGAAGCGUGAGUGACGGUAAUGGGUAAAGAAGCACCGGCUAACUACGUG